RNAcentral lists this unclassified non-coding RNA (284 nucleotides) under fungal sp. RNAcentral's name for it is "partial internal transcribed spacer region". The stretch from base 1 to 46 matches the Rfam family "Eukaryotic small subunit ribosomal RNA", at positions 1786 to 1831 of the family's 1831-position model. Lineage: Eukaryota; Fungi. The record is from RNAcentral.
AAGUCGUAACAAGGUUUCCGUAGGUGAACCUGCGGAAGGAUCAUUAUCAAUAAGCAUGGAGCAUGCCCUUUUUGGGCUGCUUUAUCUUAUGUGAACUGCUUUUUUUUUCUUUUGGGUAGCUUGUCGUUAUUUCCUACUCUGCAAGGAGUGGCAAGUAUCGGUAGCGCCCCAAAAGAAAAAAGAGGAUUUAGAGGGGCAACCCUCUUUUGACUUUAAUUUUAUUGUUGUGUUAUAAAGAUUUAUAAUCUUAUAGACAACUUUCAGCAAUGGAUCUCUUGGCUCUU